This 450-nucleotide ribosomal RNA is filed under the name uncultured bacterium. Its description in RNAcentral is "bacterial SSU rRNA". It matches the Rfam family "Bacterial small subunit ribosomal RNA", at positions 354 to 796 of the family's 1533-position model. The record is from RNAcentral.
GUGGGGAAUAUUGGACAAUGGGCGAAAGCCUGAUCCAGCCAUGCCGCGUGUGUGAAGAAGGUCUUCGGAUUGUAAAGCACUUUAAGUUGGGAGGAAGGGCAGUAAGUUAAUACCUUGCUGUUUUGACGUUACCGACAGAAUAAGCACCGGCUAACUUCGUGCCAGCAGCCGCGGUAAUACGAAGGGUGCAAGCGUUAAUCGGAAUUACUGGGCGUAAAGCGCGCGUAGGUGGUUUUGUAAGUUGGAGGUGAAAUCCCCGGGCUCAACCUGGGAACUGGCUCCAAAACUGCAUGACUAGAGUACGGUAGAGGGUAGUGGAAUUUCCUGUGUAGCGGUGAAAUGCGUAGAUAUAGGAAGGAACACCAGUGGCGAAGGCGACUACCUGGACUGAUACUGACACUGAGGUGCGAAAGCGUGGGGAGCAAACAGGAUUAGAAACCCUGGUAGUCC